CAACCUCAAGAGAGCACGACUAGCAACACCAAGCGGCGCAGGAAGAAGCGACUGGCCAGGAAGAAAUCCUAUUAGCACGGACAAUUUGAAGCGAGGCCACGGGAACGGGGGAGAGAGGCACUAUCCCAAUUUACAUCGAAAUAAAUGAAGCAAAUGUCCAGUUACGCACGUUUCGUCCUGAGCCGACCGCGAGCCGAUUGAACCUUACAAAAUGGUGGGUUUUACAAAUUGCACCACAACUCCGUCGGGAUAAUGACUCGUUUUGCAUAAUCGAGUUGGAUUAUCAUAACAAUGUCGCGUGUAUUCUUGAAUCACUCGUUAUCGAUAGAUAUUCACCCAGAUGGCCACGACUGGACUUUUUACCGCACGCUAAUAAACUGCAUCUAAAAUCGUAUUUUUUAAGUUUUUAUGUAAUGUGAUGAAAUGUAGGCCAAGAGCUUUCCCGUUGUAUUAAAAAACACUAAUGUUUUAAGGUAUGACAAGUGUGGAUAAGAAUAAAAUACUUAUUCAUAUAAUUUUCUAGUUUUGCGAUCAGAACACAUGUAAAAAUCCGUUCAGUAGAUACUUUUUGCGUGAAAGAGUAACAAACAUCCAGACAUACAGACAUCCAAACUUUCGCAUUUAUAAUCCUACUAAGGAUUUCUUACUCAUAAUGUGUAUAUUAUUAUUUGAGUUAAGGUGAUUCGGGUUUAAUUCUUGUCAUUAUACUUUCCUCAAGUCAACUUAUCAUUUUGUACGUAAUUUAAAAUAUCGAGUGGUUUAAGAAUACCUACUGCUCUCCUUAUUACUAUGCAGAUUUCAAUAUAAGUUUGUAAGCUAUUGAUCACAUUACUAUAAAGGAACUAUCUAACAUCAA
This is a long non-coding RNA of Ostrinia nubilalis (European corn borer), 856 nucleotides long. RefSeq lists it as uncharacterized. Lineage: Eukaryota; Metazoa; Arthropoda; Insecta; Lepidoptera; Crambidae. The transcript is spliced from 2 exons. The record is from RefSeq and is a predicted model, not a curated record.